UACGUAGGGUGCAAGCGUUGUCCGGAAUUAUUGGGCGUAAAGAGCUCGUAGGCGGUCUGUCGCGUCGGCUGUGAAAACCCGUGGCUCAACCGCGGGCCUGCAGUCGAUACGGGCAGACUAGAGUGCGGUAGGGGAGACUGGAAUUCCUGGUGUAGCGGUGAAAUGCGCAGAUAUCUGGAGGAACACCAGCGGCGAAGGCGGCUUCCUGGCCUGUAACUGACGCUGAGACGCGAAAGCGUGGGGAGCGAACCGG
Molecule: ribosomal RNA, 253 nt
Filed under: uncultured bacterium
Lineage: Bacteria
Description: partial 16S ribosomal RNA
Rfam family: Bacterial small subunit ribosomal RNA
Source: RNAcentral